This 4318-nucleotide long non-coding RNA is filed under the name Nicotiana benthamiana. Its description in RNAcentral is "long non-coding RNA (NBEN_LNC014705)". The record is from RNAcentral. Lineage: Eukaryota; Viridiplantae; Streptophyta; Magnoliopsida; Solanales; Solanaceae.
UGAAUAUAAUGUUCGGAAGAAGGAUCCCUAGGAGCCUUUCCCAUAUCUCCAUAUGCCAGAAAUCGAACCUCAUCUGAUCCUCCAGCAGGUGGUGUUUUGAAGUCUAUUUUCCCACUCCAACCAGCUGAAUUACUGUAUUGGUUUAGCAGGGGAGAAAAAGAAAAUGAUAAUAUAUGUUAGUAAGCAUAUAUUGGUAUCAUCUAAAUCAUUUUUCAGAAUAAUGACUUAUUUUAUGGAAAAUAUUUUUCAAUGUAUUGGUUAGUGAGUACCUUCCAUAUUUGUAGGAAUAUAUAUAAUAUGCGGCAAAAUCAGAGGACUUAAAUUUUUUGCUAUCAAGCCACUUCGGAAGAAUACCUCGAGACCCUGAGGACAUGGAGUUGCGACCGAGGCCCCUCCCCCGGGGCUCGUCGAGGCCUGAGUCAAAGAAGAUGAAGAUAAAGGCUAGAGAAAAGAGGGAAACUCCCAAGACACGCAGUUCAGUCUAACAGAGCCGGCCUACCCAAUGCCUAUGUCGAAGCGUCACAUCUAACCGUUCCAUUUUCAUGCUUUCGCAAUUAAUGUAUGUUGUAAAUAACUGGACCCCCUAUAUAAUGGGAACCCACGCUACUUUGUAAGGGGCUAAUGUUGCUCCAACUAUUCUCCACAGGAUCAAUAAUAUCUCUCUCACUCUUUCUUCUCCCUAACUCGCUCGUUCUUAGUACCUCAAGGCCACGCUUAAUGUUUAUUAAUUUCAUGCUUGUUCUUCAUUUAUUGCUUGGUAUUAGCCAUUAAGAUCCCUCUUUAAUCAUAUUCAUAGUGUUAUCCCAUUCUCGAGAAUCUCGAUAGCUUGAACUCGAGUCGGAUAUUGACUUUGAGGCCUUCAUCAACCCAUCCGAAGCUCGGGAAACAAUCCCCUUGGUUUGAUUACUGUCCCGCUUUGGCUUCAUCUAUUCGUUAAACUUCAUAUUCUUAGUAUCAAUUGCUCUAAAAAAUAGCAAAAAAAUAAAUCACGUAUUUUUAGAGUCCCAUUUACAAAUUUAAUUAUCGUUACCAUUUUCACAGUAAACACUUUGGCGCCCACCGCAGGUAUAUAAAUAAUAAUGAUUAUUUUCUUGCUAGUUCCUUUACAAACACAAGUUAUCUUUCAUGAUUUUUCUUGAAACACAAGUUCUCCUGCCAAAUUAACGUGACGCAGGGACGCCCGACCGUUGCUAACAAAAUCGCAGGGCAUUACUUCGAAAAUAAUUGGUUAAAACAUGCUUCCCUCAACAGGAAAAUUGCUUCGACCAUGUCAGCAUGAAUCAAGAAGAUUCAAGCUAAUCAGCCUACGAGCUAAAAACCUUACGAGGUGCUCAAAUAUCACCGCUAACGAGUUGAAAUCGAGGUUCUUCCAGAAAUGACUACGGGUCAGGCAAAAUUAUUUCAAAAAGAACUUAAUGAGAGGAAAACAAAGCCUAUAAUAUGCCCAUGGGAAAAAGCGUAAGAGCUAUUGUCGCCAGCCAAACGAGCCUCCGGGCCACUCACUAAAAGGUCAUAACGACCAACAACGUAAGAUCCACUAUCGUCAGCUUGAAAACUGUAAACUUGAGGAUUAAAAUGAGCUUGCGUCGUAACCUGAUUUGGAGAUCAGAUCCAAAAUAGUUAACUACAUAUGCCUAAGGGCACAACUUAAGUGCCAUCGUCGCUAGCCAAACGAGCCACAAGGCCACACACUUAAAAGGUAGCCUCAAUCCGAGGCAUAUAAAAGCUACUUAUGCCUGAUUUGGAGAUCAGAUCCAAAAUAGUUAACUAUACAUGCCUAAGGGCACAACUUAAGUGCCAUCGUCGCCAGCCAAACGAGCCACAAGGCCACACACCUAAAAGGUAGCCUCAAUCCGAGGCAUAUAAAAGCUACUUUCAUCAUCCGCCCGUGCAGGAGCAGGAGAUUAAAGGUCAAGUUAGCUCGGGUCAAAAACCUGAAUCGGAGACUCAACCCAAAAUAGUUGGGCAAAGCGUAAGAGCUAUAAUGGCAGCUUGCACUAAAUGCCGCAUCUACCGAGAAUACAAGAGCCCGCGGGAUUGCCUGGCGAACUCCGAAACCAGCCCGCCGGUCAAAAGCAAUACAAAGGGAGAUAAAAGGCAGAUAAAAGUUCAAGUUUCUUUUCUUUUAAGAAGCGCAAAAGUUUGCGGUUUCCGUAUACGAACAUGCUCUGCAAACAACAAAUACAAUGCGGAAACAUCUACGCUCCAUUCCAGAAGGCUACGACAUACCAGCCCAGUUUUUCUCCCCAUGUCAUUGGCAAGAAAUAAACCGAGCAUCAUGCUCAUCUGCCUUGCCUUAACCAUUUCUUCUAGGAGGACAAAGUCCCUGGCGCUGAUCUCUUCAAGAACCUCUCCUCAGGAUCUACAACAAACAUAUCCCUUGAUCCUUUUCUCAUGAUAGAGGGCCUUCUCCAACUGAACUCGAACAUCAGUGACGUCCUUCAAAUAGAUCACCAUUUCCUCAUAAACCUUGGUCCGGAUCAAUGCCGCUUCUGUUCGAUCAUUGAUUAUUUUGACCUAGACCUUCGAGAUCAGACUCUAGCUUCGCAAUCUUAUCCAAUGGAACCGAAGCUUGAGCCUGCACCUGAGCCCUCAGUUCACCACAAGCAUUCCUGACUCGGCCGACUUCGCCCGUAAAGUACUCCUAAGCCUUCGCCUUUUUUCUGAACUAAGGAGUAAGCAAAAUCUUAACCUUAAAGGUUAGAAAAGUGAAACUCUUACUACGAAAGAUCACAUGCCCCAUCAAAUAGCUCUUGUAAUUCGAGCUCCGCUACGCCCAUAUCGCUAGUGCAUCAACUCAACCUCUUUCUCCUCGCUAAGGAGCCUAAGGGACUUGCCCUCAUCCAGAGCUCCCCGGGUCUAGCCCCAUGGCGGAGCAGCUCCAACCUGAGCCUAUCAAAGUCCUACAGAGGGAAAAAAGGGAAGACACGAGAUGCAGAAGGACUAUAGCGAAGCUCACCGCGAAGUACAUCUGGUGGACUUCCACGAAGACCGAAGCACAUCCCUGUUGGCCUAGCCUCCUCGGCCUUGGAAAGAAUCGACCUCGGCUGAAGCAUGAUCACUCGGAGGAACCAUCGCUCCGGAAUUAAAAACUUCAAGAACGGCAAGCUCGGGCGAUGUUCUGUCACCGGAGACAUGGACAGAUUUAGCCCAGCUAAACGCCCAUUGAACUACGAGUGCAUAUCCCAUUUAUCACCAUCGUCCUCUAGUUCGGAAGCCUACAACUCCUCCGGAAUUGAGAAGGGGGAGGAGUUGUAGGGUUUAUAAGCAAUUGCUCUUCUUCCAGCUCUUAAAGAGUUGAGAAGAAAGCAAGCCUCGCGCCGCUGCCGUCGUCGCUCGCUCGGCUUUGGCUUCGGUUUCGGCUUCAGAUUCGGAUUCGGAUUCGGAUUCGGAUUUGGUCAAAUGAUUGAUUGAUUAACUUUUUGGACCAAAUUCAUUUUUUAAUAGUAAAAUAUUAACAAAAUUGUGUUAUUAAAUAUUUGUUAAUAACAGAAUAUUAAUAUUAAAUCCAAUCCGUUUUUCUAUUUUUGUAACAGAAAAUUAACUACCCAUUAAUUUUCCCUCUUUAUUGUUGAGUAAAUAUCCAUUUAUGUAAUGGCAUUCAUGGUGUGAUAGUUUUGCAGAAACAUCUAUUCUGAAGAGUUUUACCUCUUCAGAUUCCAGCCCAAAUUUUGGCUAUAAAUACAACACUAUUUUAUGCUGUGGCAGUUUUGCAGAAAGAGCCAUUCUGAAGAGUUUCACCUCUUCAGAAUUCAGCCCAAGUUUGGAUAUAAAUACAACACUAUUCUGCUCAGAAUUUCACUACGAAUUUCUGAGUUUUUUCUCCUUCUUCUGCAUACUUUUAGCAUACAAACAAAGCAAAAAGUUAAAUAUGAUUUGCUACUAAUCAUGUGACAUAACUUAUGUCGCCUAUGUGAAAUAUGGAAUCUAUAUUUCCAGAAGAUACUUCAUCUGCCAAAGCCUUCGUCACCGCCAAAGAUCCUGGCUACGUUAAAGUAAUUGAACUAUUUAUAAAUUGUUUAAAGUUCGGUUUAAUUUGUACCUUAAAGUAACAAAGAGGAAUACGUUCUUUGCGACUUUAAUGUAAGAUUCAGCGACCGUAUGCCUAAUUUUUAUAAUGUUCGGAAGAAGGAUCCCUAGGAGCCUUUCCCAUAUCUCCAUAUGCCAGAAAUCGAACCUCAUCUGAUCCUCCAGCAGGUGGUGUUUUGAAGUCUAUUUUCCCACUCCAACCAGCUGAAUUACUGUAUUGGUUUAGCAGGGGAAAAAGAAGUAGAUGAUGAUAUACGUAUAUGUUAGAAAGCAUAUAUUGGGAAAUGAC